Orcinus orca (killer whale) is the source of this 73-nucleotide non-coding RNA. The record is from the annotation of a RefSeq genome assembly. Lineage: Eukaryota; Metazoa; Chordata; Mammalia; Artiodactyla; Delphinidae.
UCCCUGGUGGUCCAGUGGUUAGGACACUGCACUUGGACUGCCGUGGUCCCGGGUUCAAUCACUGGUUGGGGAA